RNAcentral lists this ribosomal RNA (453 nucleotides) under uncultured bacterium. Its description in RNAcentral is "bacterial SSU rRNA". It matches the Rfam family "Bacterial small subunit ribosomal RNA", at positions 10 to 507 of the family's 1533-position model. The record is from RNAcentral.
AGUUUGAUCCUGGCUCAGAGCGAACGCUGGCGGCAGGCUUAACACAUGCAAGUCGAACGGGCGUAGCAAUACGUCAGUGGCAGACGGGUGAGUAACGCGUGGGAACGCACCUUUUGGUUCGGAACAACACAGGGAAACUUGUGCUAAUACCGGAUAAGCCCUUACGGGGAAAGAUUUAUCGCCGAAAGAUCGGCCCGCGUCUGAUUAGCUAGUUGGUGAGGUAACGGCUCACCAAGGCGACGAUCAGUAGCUGGUCUGAGAGGAUGAUCAGCCACAUUGGGACUGAGACACGGCCCAAACUCCUACGGGAGGCAGCAGCGGGGAAUAUUGGACAAUGGGCGCAAGCCUGAUCCAGCCAUGCCGCGUGAGUGAUGAAGGCCCUAGGGUUGUAAAGCUCUUUUGUGCGGGAAGAUAAUGACGGUACCGCAAGAAUAAGCCCCGGCUAACUUCGUG